RNAcentral lists this transfer RNA (75 nucleotides) under Clostridiales bacterium. Its description in RNAcentral is "tRNA-Glu". It matches the Rfam family "tRNA". From Rfam's summary of the family: Transfer RNA (tRNA) molecules are approximately 80 nucleotides in length. Their secondary structure includes four short double-helical elements and three loops (D, anti-codon, and T loops). The record is from RNAcentral. RNAcentral also lists the same sequence under 1 other name. Lineage: Bacteria; Bacillati; Bacillota; Clostridia; Eubacteriales.
GGCCCGAUGGUCAAGCGGCUAAGACACCGCCCUUUCACGGCGGUAACGGGGGUUCGAUUCCCCCUCGGGUCACCA